This is an RNA transcript of Solenopsis invicta (red fire ant), 34733 nucleotides long. It is a transcript of the gene named histamine H2 receptor-like, with no coding region annotated. The transcript is spliced from 4 exons. NCBI's taxonomy places the organism in Eukaryota, Metazoa, Arthropoda, Insecta, Hymenoptera, Formicidae. The record is from RefSeq and is a predicted model, not a curated record.
CUUCAGCACGAAAUGCAAAUUUUCACGAUUCUAACGUAUUUGAUGUGGUAUUGAGAUAACAAACGCGCUAGUCUCCAAAGUCGAGCGCUAACCGUGCGCUUACGCAGCUCUUUAUGCAGCUUUUAACAGCCUUAUUUAGUUGGAUCGCUUACACGUAAUAGUCUAAUUAGAAUAAUUGUUCAAUAUAAUUUAGCCGAGCUUCCAGCGCCUUCUUUGAAAAAAUUAACCCUCUUUAAAAUAUAUAACUUUAACCUACUUGCGCGAAAUAAAAGUGGCCGGUGGUCUUUCUAAAAGCAAUUACUGGAAGCAAUUUGCUCGUACUUUCAGGGCGUACUGUAAAUUAGCCGCGGCAAGAGUGUACCGGCGUCGCAUGUGACGUGCACGGUACACGUAAUUUCCUCGUCGAUUAUGUUCCAGCGGCAUAACAGCGCUUCUGUCAGUUUCCUGCCGGCGCAGCGUACACGGUAGGUACGAGAGACCACUCGUGCGGGCCGGUCGAGAGAAGAAGGGCUCCGGAAGCCCCGUGGAAAAGGACCGGAAGUAUCCUCGAGGCGGGAAGAGACCAGACCUACGACAUUGCUCAAAGGACCAUUCCCUUCCUCCCUCCCUUCUCAAGCUCGUUACCGCCGAACCGUGUCCUGAAGUAUAGCACCACAAAGCGAAGUACAACUCUCGACCACACGCGGUCCGCUCGACAAGCACGUCCAUACAGAGCCGGUCGCCCCCUCCCCCCUCCCCUCAGCCCCAGAGCACCCCCUGUGUGUCAUCAAACAUCAACGACGUCGACAAUCACGACGACAUCGACGACGGUCAACAACAGCGACCACCGACCAACGACUCCCACGCCAAAUCUCAUCGACCUUUCCAAGUUCAUAGGAAGCGCGGCGCACGUUCUACGAACGGCGUGUAAAGAAAAAGGUCGAUUCGAAAGGUGAAGAGAGAAAGAGAAAGAGAGAGAGAGAGGGCGAAACCGCAUUUAUCGAUACUACCGGAUCCAACGAUCCCUCCCCAAAGAGCGUACAACGACUUUGGUAUAUACACACAGAGAGCUCCGGGGGCAUUGAGUCAGGAUUAAAAGAAACGGCGUAUACGGCGCUCGCGUAUGAAAGCAGACGAAGGGUGAGAUAAAGAGAAAGAAAAAGAGAGGCAAGGAAGAACGAGAAAGAGAGAGAGAGAGAAAGAGAGAGAUAACGCGCGGAGAGACGGCAACGGGGACGGAGGAAAAAGGCACACUGCCUCCUGUACGCGGCGGCUGGCCUCUCGUCGUCGCGCCUGCGCUUCCCGUCGGAAAGCUCCGGCUCGUUCUCUCGGUCCUCGUCGGUCGUAACCGUGAUCCUCCGUUCCGCCGGUGUCGCCCACCUCGAGCUCAGUGAGCCGGUGUGUGAGCGCCGCGACGCCUAGAACAGCACCUAUCGUCGCCGGAGUUUUCGUUGUCGUCAUCGUCGUCAUUGUCGUCAUCGUCAUCAUCCUCGUCGUCGUCGUCCUCGUUUCCGUCGGCGUGAAUUUGACGACGGUUUCACGUAUCCCCUCGUCCUUGUCAUCAUCGUCGUCGUCGUCGUCGUCGUCGUCGUCGUCGUCGUUGUCGUCGUCGUCGUCAUCAUCGUUGUUGUGGUCGUUGUCGAUCGAGCGCCGUCUAUCCUCGUCCUCGUCGUUGUCGUCAUCGUCAUCGCCCUAUCGUCUCGUCAUCUCGCUGCUCGCAGUGGUGCUGGCGCUAUUCGGGAGGCACGCGACUACCCUGAGCGGUUUCCGUGAGCAAGUCGCAGUCGUCGCGAGAAGAGAGAGACGGACGAGUGCAGUACUACUACCUCGUUCCUCCCCUCUUUCUCCUCCACGUCCUCCUGCUCUUGCUCCAUCUGUCUCCUCUGCACCUUCGUUUCUCUUUCUCCUCCCACUUUCCCUCUUCGUCCCCUCCCCCCUCUCUCUCUUUCUCUGUAUAUGCAUGCUCUCGCCCUCUGCUGUACCCCUUGCCGCCGCCACCGUUGCCAACGUCGUCGUCGCCGAUCUCAUCGCUCUCUCUCGUUCCCACGAUCACGCUCGCCCUUCGCACAACGACGCUACGCCACCACCGCCGCCACCGCCGCCGCCGCUGCCACCGCCGCCGCCGCUCACCGUACCGUGCACCGUGCUCGGCCACCACCGUACCGCUCGUCGCCGUCUUCUCCUCGUCGCUUUCGGCUCACGUGCUACGACGUUACACGGACCCACGACAGCGCAUCUACGAGACAGCAUCUCUCGAUUUCACGUUCCGCGAGUUCUUCCAUCAUCGUCGUCCGUCACCCCGAGAACCAUCAUCUCUCCUCUUUCGACGCCGAGAGACGACAAUCGCGCAGCAGCAAGGGCGAGUGCAACGGCGAGCGAGAGCGCGAAGGAUAGAGAGGAGGAGUGAGUCCGAAAGAGCGAGAGAGAAGGGAGGAGAUACGCGACGCACAGAAGAGGACGAAGGAUGGUGUAGACGCCGUGGCGUCUUGUCCGUCGUGCCCGCGGGACCUCCGACGUGGACAUUCGUGUAAGAAAAUGUACUCGCGUGACGGUCCUUAAACCUCGCCUCAGGCGUGCAUUCUCGUGAGAGAGAGAGAGAGAGAGAGUGUGUGUGUGUCAGAGAAAGAGAGAGAGAGAGAGAGAGAGAGAGAGAGAGAGAGAGAGAGAGAGAGAGAGAGCCGGAGCGCCUGUUACCGGCAGGGAGGGCGUUAGAGCGAGAGCGCGGGAAAACGGGAGAGUGUGAGAGAGAGAGGGAGAGAGAGUGCAAACGGAGAGAGAUAGAGGGAUGGUUAGGAGGAAAACGUACGACAGAGAAGAUAAUGAUGCUCGAACGUGAUGCUAUGCACGUCCGCGAGGGUUGUUCCGAACGACGACGGUAAACCGAAUGAUCAUUUGAUUCCUUUUGGAUUGCGUGAUAUACGUAUAACGCGCGGUGCCACGUCCCGCGGUGCGUGUCGCUGCGAGCGCGCCUUGUGCGGACCCUGUGUGACGGCGGUGAUCAACGACGCGUUGUCGGCGGCCAACGGCAACCCCGACGAGGGUAUGUCGAGUCGACAACACACGCGCUGGUCCCGUCCCGUCUCGUCACGGCCCGCUCGUACUUGCGACUCACAAGUCUUGUUCAAUGUUCUGCAUAAUCGUUCUUACGUACUCGUCACACGCUUGCACGCAAUUUACUGUUGGUGUAUAUUUGCUAUUUGAGAUGAUCGAUGUAUGCACGUUGGUGGUGUUGUUGUCCGGCGCCGAUUUGAUAUCAAUUGAUAACACGAUAAUGACCCAUGCUCAUGCGUUGCCGAUUGAUUGCCGUUUAAAUUAAGAAAGAUCCAAGUUUACAUGCCGAGAAAGCAAAGAGACAGAUCAAAAUUCAAAUUUUUAACUAAAAGUUCAAUUUUGUAUUUAUCUUCUAUCAAUUUUUUUUUUUCUAUUUUCGGGUACUUGGAUCUUUUCUAAUUUACAGUAUUCAUUUGGCGCCGCGUUCACCGUUGAAUGUUGUCGUUCAGUUCCAAGUUUUAUGUAUAAUACGAAGAUCAUAUUCGAUGUGUAACGUCGUGGGAUGAGCAUCAGAUAGAUUUAACGUUAAAUGUGCGAUGUGAAUACGAAUUGAUGAUGUAACUCUGAAAUCCCCGAUGUAUCCUUGCAAUAUGAAUGCAUGUAUCUGUAUGGAUAGCUUUCAUAUGAAAGGAAUCAAGUGCCUUUAUGUUAAAACCGAGAAAUAGUCUCUUAGACUUGUCUCUAGAGAAAACAAUAUUUUGUACUAUAAGAACGAUUUAUAUGGUAGCAGUGCACGCUUCAACUUAUCUAGUAAACUAAUCAAUAGAAUAAUAAAUGUAUGUCUACAAAUAUAUUUGCGUUUAUAUAAAAAGACAUUUACAAUUUGAAUAUUCAAGUAGAAAUAUAUGUGUCACGCAUUUUGUAAACUGAAUACUUUCUCAUCUGUUCGCGAAUAAUGAAUAAUAAAGAUUUUCGUUACCCUUGAUGUUAUGUCAUUCAUCGAUUUCAACGAGAGAUAUAAUAAAACAUUUGCCAUGACCUGUUGAAUGUCAUAAAAAGAGUCCCCCGUUAAAACUUCAGAAAAGUUCGUGCUCUUCAUCAAUAAUACAGUCGAAAAAUGUAUAAUGAAAUGCAUCAUGCGGAAAUAAAAAAAAAGUUAUUAAUUGUAUGAAAGUAGUCGGCACAAAAAAAAUGACGGCAUCGAUUUUAAUGAUUAGAUGCUAUUCGCAAAACUCGUAUGAAUUCGCAGAAAUAACAAGUCCAGUACUAAUUUAUUUGCUUAUCUUUUUCACAACGAUUGAAAAGAUAAGCAAAUAACUUGCUACUUAACUCGUCUCUCUAUUAACUUAAUUGCAAUGUUAUUACUACAAUUAUUACUACAAUUUAACAAUAAUUAGUGCUUUCAUCAUCAAUGGAAUUAAACUUACCGUGUUUUUGUCCUCCAUCCUUGUCAACCUAUCCUUUCUUUCUCAGUCACAUUGGAAUGCCCUAUCGAAGUAAACAUCGAGCUUUUAGCGUUAAUACAGUAAAGAAUGAUAUAUGAUUAUCGUCCAUUUUCUGAACGUUCUAGUGUGUACAAACGAACGAUAAGAAUAAAAUGUUGAACUGACAACAUCACACGAUUGAUCUGUUUACCACAAUUUUUUCUAGAAAGAAGCAAAAUGUUUUAUUCAUACAUAUUUACAAAUUAGAAAGAUGACAAGUUUCAAUAAUGUUCCAUAUUUACAGUUUACACAGAAAGAACAAUUUUAAUGUAGUAUUAAAAAAUUUAGCUAGAUAAAGAUCAGAAAAUAAUUUUACGUUAGAUUAUCAAAGUUAUUAUGUAAGACAUUCAAACAUGAUGAUACUGUUGCAAAAAAUUUUGACAUUCUAGUAAUCACGUUAAACGUUCAAUAUAAAUUUUUUAAUAUCUUCAACAUAAUUAUUUUCAAAUCUGUAUUUUAGCAACAUUGUUUUUUUCGUGUAUUAACGCUAAAAGGCCGAUGGUAUCUGAAUACAUUUCAUUCGCAGCUUAUAUUGCUUCGUAUUUUUAAUCAGAAAAGAAUAGCUGUUUGUGCUAAAUUUGUACAAAAACAUUCAUGUGCAUGUAAAUUUCUUAUGACAUAGUGUGGACAAACUAUAAGAAGCUGACAGUAAAUAAUGAUGAAGCAGGCGUUUGUGCCGAUAAAACGUAUAACAUGUAAUAAAAGAGAAGAAUCGGAAUCAGAAUCGUCAUUUAUCAGACGCUCUGGGACUACGUUUCCUAAAGCGUAAUAAAAACAUCGUUGCAAAAAAUGAGCAGUACAAUUGCUACAAUUAUAUACGUGAGGUACAAAAAUAAAACAGAUAAUAAAAUAAAAACGUAGAACAAUAGAUAAAAGAAGAAAAUAUCUACAAAAUAUCCUUAAAUUCUUAUAUUCAGGAAAUGAUAGCUUCUUAUAAUUUUCAAUUCCACAGGAGUCACAACACGUAUAGGAAGGGUAAAAAAUGGCUCGAGUGUCAAAAUGCAGAUACGGAAAUAAAAUAGAGAAAAAUGGUGUAGCAGAUAAAAAUUGUUAAGACAUAUCGUAUCGCAGAAAUCUGAAAUACAAUACAAAACAAAUGUGGGAUGGUCACGAAAAUGUCUUGAGGCUGUUAAUAACGUGAGAGUGGGCGUAACGUAUCUGCAAAAUGGCAUUCACCUCCAAUGUAGCGCGCGAUGUAACCGGAUAUAAUUCUGCAGCGAGCACUCGCGAAUGAUUCAUCGGCGCGUUUACACGACGUCGGGUGAGGAAAGGCGACUAUUUUCGGCGCGGAUUCGGAUAGCGCUCGUUGCGGAUCGCUUUUAACGGCUCUAACGCCGUUAAAACAGGAAGCUGAUACCGCCGUAUCACCGUUAUCGUAUAAUAUGAAUUUAUAUGACAAUGCCUUUCUAUUACGGCCGACAAUAGCGGCGACGGUGGUGGUGUAAUAUUACCAAGUCGCCCCGUUGUAAUGUAUAGCCCGUAUGCGUUUGGCUCUCUCUCUCUCUCUCUCUCUCUCUCUCUCUCUCUCUCUCCUCUCUCUUUCUCUCUCUCCGCAGACCAUAAAGCGAAUAAUAUAGCUCGCACGCAAAAUGAAAUAUUUCAAUUGCGGGACUCGCGUUAAUUGCGCGCGCGCUCGCUCGCUCGCUCGCUCGCGCGGGUGCGCCGUUUCAAUUAUCGUAAUGAAUUACGGCGAACGCGAAUUCCGUCGACGCAAGCGCGGCCGAGAGCGCGGAACAUGGGUGUGUGGAUCUUUCACGCGACGGAGCCGGUCUACUCGAUCAAUCUCAAUCCGGAGCGUGGCGUUCGAAAGCGCGCGUGGAAUAUAAUGAAUAUGUAAAUAUUCGACGGGGUGCACGUUGUCGCUUGUAAAUAGCGGAGUGCGUGUAACAGGUGGUGUGCUCUCUGUCUCGCCCGCGGUGACGCGUCGGUGUCGUCGCUCGUCGCUCGUCACUCUUGACAAUGGCGUACACAUGCCGACGGCGGCGGACCGCAUGACGAUGUGUAUACCGCCACGCCGGUGGACGGAGGACGUGGGCCCUCGGCCCUCAGCCCCUCGACCCUCAUCGACGACGUACGCGAAUGAGUUCCUCGCGCAUUCAUAGCCGCCGCGUUCACCGGCGCGAAUUCGUACAUCUGUCCGUUCGCUUGUCCGUGCGUAUCGCUCGCGCGCGCGCACGCGCGCGCGUGUAUGUGCGUGUCGCCACGAACGAGAUACGCACGUAUACACGCGGAGCCCACGAACGCGGAAUGCGCAUAGCGCGGGCAGUAAAAGUAAAUGGCGCAUUUUCGCGAUUGCUCGUUACCGCACGAUAAAAUUUACGCUCGCAAUAAAAUAAUCGCAACAAAUACGGCGUAUCAUUUCUUCUCGGAUGCUCAUCGUUUACCCGCUAAUAAAAUUGUCGCCCGUCGUCUGUCGGCAAAUAAAAAUGUCGGAAUUUUCGGGAUCCUCUGGUUGAGAGAUUGCCCCGAUUUCUUCUUCAGAAACUUCGACGAAGCUCAUUAUAAAGUCACCCUCACAAAGAAACCUUUCCAAGUCAAAGCGUUGUGCGAAGUUUGAUUUUGCGCUCCACGAAUGGCAUGCGAAUUUACGUAAUUUAUGGGGCUCGCUCCACAUCCCGCAGGCUACUGUCGACUGCAACGUAAUCAUACCACGAGCCUGCCCUAAGGCCUCACCGUCUCGUCAUCACCGGUCCAUCAUCGUACCUGCAUUGUCGUUCGCGCUGCAAGAUGAACGAACGAUUCGAGGGACAGUAUAUAGUGCGUUCGGCGCGCUGUGAGACGACGAGAUGAAAUCACGCGGUGCUAUUAACCGGAAAAUUUGAAUCGAUUUGCGUCGCGUCGCGUCGCGAGUAAUCCUCCCGAUGGUGGUGCUGGUGCGCACGGCUUAAUAAUAAUGACAAGUGAGCGCGUUCUUAUCGCGACGUUGAUGAAACACGUGUGCGAGACGCGCGGGUGAUUGCGCAUCGACUUGACUGGCCGCUCGGAUCCACGUGUACGCGUACACGGAACAUCCUUCGAGGAACAGCGGAUCGCUCUCCAGUGACCGAUUAACGUAACCGUUCCGCUUCAAAUCUACUGCUGCACAUCAUACGGAGAUUAACGCAGUUGUGCUACAAUUUCUCUACCGCGUGGCAUCUCGUACCGGUGAGUCAAAUUAUUUUUAAUUUUUAAUUUGCGGCAAUGGACUUGGAAAAACAACAAACAUGCAUGAUACAUGUGUUAUGUAUAAUACAUAUGUUGUGUGAAAAAUUGGAGUAAAGAGUAUUACUGAGAAAUUUUUCUCUUAGAAAUCUAAGAGAAAAAUUCACCGUAAAAUGGAUAAACUAACAAUAAAACAGAUUGAUAAUAAUAUUAAAAAUAAUAUUUAACAUGGAAUUUACGAAAUCAUCGUAUUAUAAUGAUAUCACAACUAUGAGAUUUUUAAAAAAACCAAAUGAAAAAUAUUUUGAAGAUAUUAUUUAUUAAUAAUAUUAUUUAGACAUUUUUAUUAAAAAAUUUUAUAACAAAACUAUUCAAACUUUUAAAUUUAUUGUGUUAGUAAAUAAAAAAGAAACAAAAAAAUAAAAUUAUAACAAUUACAAAAUAUUGACAUUUCAAAAUAUAAAAAGUACUGACAGUUUAGAACAUUUCUUCAUUCAUAUCUCAUGGACGGAGAGAACAGGAUAUAUAUUGACAGGAUUUAUAUAUUGUAUGUAUUUAUGUAAAAAAUAAAUAUUGAUUAAUAUCUAUAAAACUCGGUAGAGAAACAUUGUUAAAAUAUUUGCGUGCGUUUUAUUUUUUUUAUUUUUUUUCUAAAAUAUUUUUAAAAUAGAAUUUGAAGUCUGUGUUUGGCUUCUCUAUAAUCCUUUCAGGAUUAAAUAUUGUAUAAAUUGUUAUGGAAGAAAACAAUAGUCAAAAAUUUUUGUAUAUGCAUGUCAUUAAUGUAAAUUAAAUAAGAAAUAUCUUUUUUCACAAUCACAUAGCGUAUUUAAAAUAAUAUAUUUAUUAGAAAAUGUGCUAAAAUGAUUAUCAUUUUUAUCAUUGAAAUACUCCGAGUUUUAACGUUAUUCUUUAUAGUCUGUUUCUUCACAUUUAUUGGUAACUUAUACACCUGAAACAAAAUAAAGGCAUUUUAAUCAAUAAAUAUUUUGUUGUAGGAUAAGAAAGAUUUUUUUGUAUAGUUUAUUUAAAAUACUAUGCACGAUAAAAUAGUACUCAUGUAAUGCAAUUACGAACUUGAGCGUAUGGGCGAUAUCAUCGGCCAACUUUGAUUACAAUUCAAAAGCUGUUACGAUCUCGACACUUUUGUUUAGGAUUUUUGAUUUUAAUUAAUUUUCAGAGUAUGUUAUUAAAAUAUUAUAUAGUGCUUUUGAAAUAUUGUCUAUAAAGAGUAAUGACAGGAUAAGAGAAUUAAAAAGAGCUCUAUCUUUUUUAUCUUCUUGUCGAAAGAGAUUGAUUAUUUUGAAAUAACGUGUGUUGAAGUAUAUAAGGAUUGUGAUAAAAACUUUUUAUAUUUCUCUUUCUCUCUCUCUCUCUCUCUUUCUUACUCUCUUUUGUAGUAUAAUUAAAUUAAGAGUAACAUAAUGGUCAUUGUUCUACUUUGAUUAAUAAAUCGAUGUAGACGACAGAUGAUUGCAUCUAACUAAGUACAAUAUUUAAUUAGAUUUGCAAUAUUAUACCCACUGCGUGAAAUCGUGCACGUUGGAAUCUUUUGUCAAGGUUACGCAGUAAUUUUAGUUUGGCGCGUGCACCGGACGCGUUUUCACACCGGCGUGGAACAAUAACACGUUGUUAUUACAUGCCUGCUCAAAAUACAUUUAACGAGCUCCAGCUGUUGCAGCGUUUCGUCGAAUGACGGGGUUAUUCGAGAAAUAGGACGAAAUCGUUUUCCAGAGUUUUCAACGGUAUUGAAAUCGGUAGGAACUUUUUGAUAACUCAGCUAGGCUGCCCAUUACGACGAUUAUUUCGUCAAGCGAUUUGCUUCGAAAUGAUGUCAAUUCGCAAACCCUACCUACGUACACCCGAUUAUCCAAUUGACAGAAUACCCCAUUAAUCCAUUAAGCUUUGUAAAAAUAGAUCGCGUCCGUGAAAUCGCGUGACUUGACCCUUUCCGGUCCUGUGAUUGCAAUUGUAGUCUAUUAUAUCUUUGGCUAAUUUGCAUCAUCAGAACUAAUGCAAUAACGUUUGCGCUCUUCUCCGAUAAUUGUGCGUCAGAAAAAUUAAAAACAAUUAUAUAAAAAUUAUAUAAUAUUUCAGCUUACUCGGAAUCUCUCUCUCAAGUUUCCGCGCGGUAGAAGUCAUAUUUCGUCUUUAUGCAAAUCAAUUUUCCAAGAUAUCACGUGAAACACAACUUUAAGACGGUUGCGUUUACUUUAGUUAAGGGAAUACAUAUACGUAGACUUCAUGCAAUUUUCAUUUGCUUCUGCGGUAUAGAUACGCUUUCUACGUGCUGCCAACAAACGUGCUGUAUAGCGUCUAUAUGUUCCUUCGUGUGUUUAUGGAUUACCUAGCUUGUAACGUAACAAAAAUGACGAAACUAUUAAACUUGUUACGGCGAGAGUAGAUAGUAAAUAAUUGACGAUAAUCGUCGGAGCAAUCACAAGACAACGCGGUCAACGCCAUCGUUUCGCGUUAUAUACGUCCGCAUCGUUAAGCUCCAUAACGAGCUUUGAUUUUAUUGAUAGACCUUAAACGAUUAUUAUGUCGUUCGAUCGUCUUAGGCCGAAGAAAACGGGAGAGAUAGAGAGAGGGAAAGAGAGAGGGAUCUUAACGGUCCUCAAUAAGAGAAUUUAAAUUGCAGCGCGACCGCGUUCUGGUCGAGCCGAGAGGAUCGGGGACCGGAUUGAUAAUGGCGAAGCGAAGCGGGGAACAAGAAGCGGGGACACGAGGGGGAGGAACGGAGAUAACCAGUCCGAAGAUAGUUUGACAUGGAUGAUUUAACCGGUUUAUCUACCGAAUGACCGCGUAAUUACCUAUCCCGAGUCGGGACCAGAUGUUUUAGCGCUCGCGGCAUGAUAAUUCGCGCGCUCUCCGAGCUUAGCUCGGCUAUUCGAAAUACAUAUUAAGUUAUAGCGGAGUGUCAGAGUGAAGAUAAAAAUACCGUGUUCCGCGAAGGAGAGAAGGAAGGUACGCCGCGGGUCGCGACUCGCGUUCGAUUACAGACGUCUACAUUUUUUUCGAUGUCGCUACGCGGCGCGGCGCGGCGCGCGGUGCGCGGUGCGCGAGAUUAUAUUCAUUAGCGUUUAGCUCUCUUCCUAGCUCGUAGCAAUCCCGACACCUCGUUCCUCAACACUGAAAUUAAAACGUCACGAUCGCACCCGUCGAGAGUUCUCGGUAACAUCCCUCGGGGUGACGCGCCGCAUUGCCAAUACCGUCGAGAGAGGACUCACUCGGCCUCUCGAUUUUCGGCCCCUCUCGUCGAACGAAUCCCCAAUAGAAUUCACGGACGCUCGGCCAAUCGAGCCGAUCGCGCGACGCACAUCAAAGAGUAGUUCCGGAAGCGCAAUUCCUCCACUUUACGUGUCCGACGCCGGCAAAGAGGUUGACUGACGCGAGGAGAAGAGGCCGAAUGAUCGAAUCGGCGCGACUAGGAUGCGAAAUCAGGCGUAUGGCAACGCGCGUCACACGUCGCGUCCGCGUCGUCGUCAUCGUCGCGCCUGCCUCCACGACGAUUCGCGUCACGUAAUUCGCGAAAGAUUUAAGAAUCCGUCGGAGUAUAAAGCCGGGCCCGUAUCCCGUCCGGAGUAAAACAUCCGUUGACUCGCUCUGUACACCAGGCACGGCUUCAAUUAAGCAUCCUCGAUAUUCCUCGUACGUGCGUGCUCGUUUUGCUGCGUUUCCCCGAUCGCACAUAAUUACGGAUACUCACGAUAGUAUCGCAAUACCGAUCUCGGGACGAUCUCUCGCUCAACUUACCUCCGGCAACUUCGUUAGCUUCGAUCAUGGUUUUUUUUUCACAAUAAUUAGGUGUCGACGUUGCCAUUACCGAUGCAAUUAGGAAUGUGUCAUAAAGAAGAGCCAGUAUGACGUAUCGCGUGCUUCUCUAUAUUUAAACAUUCGCCUCGAUAAUUAAGCGAGCGCAAUAAAUAUCGAGCGAAUAAAAGUAUAUGUAUAAAAUCGUAUCAAAGUGAAAAACAGUUUUCCACGUAAUUGAGAAAGAAUAAUGUCGCGUUGAUAUUCGCAGGAUCGGCUCCCGCGAAGGGAGAGAAAAUCCGUGUUGUGCGUUUUCUCCUGCUGAAUUGAAGAAUCUGUACACACAAUUAAUGUGUAAUAAUGCAGCGACGAUCCAGAUGUUGCUCUUUUCGGAUUUGCCUUUUCAUCUCGCGCUCGGAGAACACUCGAGAGUUUUAGCAUUGAUACGGUUAUCGUUACGACCGGCCGUUACGUUGGUACGGCUUACACCCGCGACUCUUCCUACUAACUUUGCGAAUGCCGCACGCCUAAUGACGCGUAUCUUGGCCCGCGGCGCUAUUCCGAGACGUUGCCUCAUUUUUACGAUUAUUGGAAUAGUCGCGCCCUCCGUCGUAAAAGUAUAAAAUAGAGGGGAAACUGCCGGCCGAGGUCUGCUGGCGAUUUUAAGACGCGAUCAUUUCGAGUGCUCUUUCUUCAGCGAGCUGUUGUUUCUACUGCCGGUGCUCUAUCUGUAGGAUCGAGUCGAUAACUGCAAGCUUGACAGAUGUAAUUGCUGUGCAAUUUGUUCGUAAUGCGUCUUUACGAUGAUAAAAUGUGACUUGAAAAGUUUUCGUAGUAAAAGAGUAUUUUUCUUUAAUAUAAUCAUACACAUGCGUAUACACGUGUACGUGUGUACGUACAUAUGCGUAUAAAUCAGCGUUUUACUAUAUCGUUUUUCAAAUUUAAAAAGGAAAUAGGAAUACAAAUCGCUAAAUAAAUCUUUUUAUCCACUUAUUUAUUUGUUUAUGAUUCUUAAAAUGUUGUAUUUCAUCCGAUAUUCCUAUAAAUCAUAGACAGGUAAAAGCCGAUUAAAAUGUUUACCUUGCAAUAUCAAAUUGGAUCAAACUGUACCGUUUUGUUUCCAAUUCCGGGGAUUGUGAAUUGUACCAUAGUUUACAUGACUAUUACGUAACAGUACGUAACAGAGUUAUAUAAAUCAACCAAAUGUUGCGUAAUUUUGCUGUGAUCUCUUGUACAAAUUCGGCAUAUAACAUUAUUGUAAUUAAAUAAUUCGUUUCAUGUGGAAACAACAGCUUAUCUCGUUAAUUAAAAUAUCGUCUCACGUCAAAUAAAAAUGUUUAAUAAUUUAAAGGCGUAAUAAUGUAUAGUGUGUGUAAGAUACAGGAAAUGGAGCUCUCAGAAUUAUUUCGAGAUUCUGCGCGUAUGUAUGGAUGAGGAUUUGCGCGCGAUUCACGGCUUCCGUUAUACGCGUUGGGAUACACAAAUCACCGUCGUCAUCGUCGUCGUCGUCGUCGUCGUCGUCGUCGUCGUCGUCGCAGAGAUACGAGUUUGUUGUAUUUGCACGCGGACGAUUCUCGUCGUAGCCAUCGGAGAAGGGCAGCAGGAUGGCGAAAAGAAAGUCGCUAACCAGCUUCUCGCAGACGGCGCGACAACCCCGAGACGGGGAUGCAACGUGCCCGGACUUUUAAUACCACCGUGAAAAUUGUGCCCGGACCUCGCUCUACCCUCGAUGAGAGAACGUGAGACUAUCUCUCGCGCACGUGAGCCGUGGCUGCGAUGAUUAUUUUCUGAUUCGGUGGGAUUCCGUGCGCACGAUCUGAUGUACGCGUGCACCGACAGUGGCUGCUGCUGCUGCUGCUGCUACUGCUGUGGCAGCACAAUAAUGCCGUGUCCCGUGUUGAAAAGCUCUCACGCGAUCACGAUCGCGACGCGAGAAGGCCGCGGCGGGAAGAAGGAGGAACGGGGGGAGGAUGUCGACGACGACGAAAACGAGGAUGACGGGAUACGAGGCGCGGCAUAAGUUACGACGUGCAAGUUAUCGAUCCGCGCACGUACGUACCAAGGUACGUGCCUAUGUAAUGCGUAAGCCGACUCGCCUCCGAAGGGUGCGACUUUAUGACGAUUUUCACGAGGGUACAAGCUGGAAAGAGAGGGAGAGAGAGAGAGAGAGAGAGAGAAUGAGAAUAAGGGAAUAGGCAGGAAAGUGACGGCGCUGAAAUUGACAGGCGUUCCACGACUGAGCUCCCGUCGUCGUCGGAGAGAUGUACAUGCUGAUUUUAAUGGCGAUAAGAUUUAUAGCCGAUAGAGGUCCGGGAAUGCAGUGUGCAUUUACGUAACGUUUCAGCGCGUUCCCGACAACGCCAUUCGACUAGAGAAACCGCGCGGAUGUUCGUUUAAACGGCAGUUUCGUGGCUCACUCGUUCCCUCAUUCUCUUCGUCCACGAUCGUAGCCGAGACGCGUGGCGGAAUUUCGUACUCGACUUUUAUGUCCCGCGCGCUGAAGGCUCGCCCGGGACCGUCCGGCGAGACAACGUAAUUUCGCGUUAUCUGCGUAAUUCAAGCUCUAGAUUCAAUUUGCACGAGACGCGCCGGAAUCGCGGCGAAAGAAUGGUCUGUCUCGUCGGAGGGAAUUACACAGAACGGGAUGACACUUUUCGAUUAAACAGUGGCUAAUCUUACAAAUACGUUCUUUGUAUGGAGUAAAUAAUGAAUUUUCCCCCGUUACAAUACGAUAGAGUUAAAAGAAUUUUAAUUGAAUCCCGUUUUAACGUUAAAUAAUGAUGUAAUUGAAUUUUCCAUUUUGCCGUUAUCGUCAAAGAAACGUCAAUUUCAAAUGCAUCAAGAAGAAGGAUUCGUUAUCAACGCGUCAUUCAACAAUAAUUCGCCUCAUUCGAUUGGAUUUAUUCAACAGUAUUUAAUUAAAUGCGAUUAAAUUUAACUAACAAGUUAACUUACAUAAGUAAUGCUGCUUUUUCAAAACGUGGCGAAAGGCUCGUCACUUUUCGCUGCACUCACACUUGGUCAAACAUUAUUUUACUUUACUGUCGCUCUAGAUGAAGCACGUAUUGCUUUAUUAUUCUUGCGUGAGAGUUUUGUAAUAAACUUUCCAACGCGUGAGUGUAUUAUUUUUCGAAAAUCCGCCCGCUGGUUUUCGCAUACAAUUUUACGUCGUUGCCGCUUAAGAAGUUUUGCAAUCAACCGGAGGAACACGUUGCGUGUUCGCGCGAUGCGUUCGCGAAACGUAGGCUCCUUCUCGGGUUUUCUUAUUGAGCUGUCUCAUAAUCUUUCGCAAUCGUUUUGUAAAGUCGUUCGGUCGGGUCUUGAGGACUCUGAUUUUCUUCCUUUAGACAGCGAUACAAGUUGCGCGCGAGAAUAGCGAGGCUGAUUCUGCGAGCGAGCGCCAAUUCUGUUCCCAAUCGGCGAUGAAACUUCCGCGAACUCGUUCGAAAUCCCGUGCGAACGAACGGGAUGAUUUCGAAGUUUGUACUCUCAAACGGUCGGCGAUCGGUGCGCGACGCGUAAAACGACUUCUGAAUUGAACGUAGUCAGCUCGUGUUGUCGUAUCGUACUUUUAGUAACAAAAUAGAAGAGUUACAACUGUUAAAAGUUGUUUCUUCUGAAACCGUGAUUAAAAAAGAAAGAAGUAAGAGAUAAAAGAAAGAAAUUACCAAGAUAGAAAAAUGAGUUUCUUGUUAAAUUAGAAUCAUUUCUUUGUGGCUAAAAAUUGAUUGUCGGUGACAUUUACAUAGUUUAAAAAAAAAUAAAGAAACAUAUUUCAUAUUCGAAACUCUCUAAAUCUAUAACAGAAUUACGCAAAUAUUAUUUUUAUUUUUAUGUGUGAAAACAAUAUGCAAUAUACAUUGUAAAAAUUUAUAGAAAUAUGUAAUAAUUUUUUUUCAUAAAUGUUAGCAGGUUUUGUUUUAUUACAUAAGUCUUUACUCAAAUAGUAACGUCACAUAGUAAAUAGAUAUAUUAUAUAAUAUUUUGAGAUAAAAAUUAGAAGAAAAGGAUAAAUUAAUACUAUUAUAUAAAAAUGCUUUUGACUUUAAAUUACAUAUUGAGAAAUAGAUCUUUUUUUUUUAUACAGGUUUUACUAAAAUGCAACAUCAGGUCCGAACAGCUUAUCCAAGUCCUGUAAUUGAACAUUGUUCCCUAUUGUAGUGGAACAAUCCAUUGCAUGAAAUGCCGAUGAACGGCGUUCUUUCGCCGGGCAAUUUCGCUUCCUCCCCCUCUGAUUCAAAUUUCACCCCGGGCUAAACGACGCUAUUAGCUCCCUUCAAAGCUCCUAUUCGCGACAUCGACGUUUCUCUAUGAACCGAACGGUGUUCUCGUUCGCGAAACAACGCACCACACGGACACGCGCGCACGCUUUGUUCCCUCAAAAAUCACAGAAGUUUUUGUGCCUCGUGUUCACGUUGCCGGGGCGCGAGUUCGCACAAAACCAUGCGCGACCGCUCUUUUUUCUCUCUCUCUCUUUUUUUUCAUCGCUUUUUUUUCGUGUCGCUCGCUCGCGCGCGCGAGACUGCGUCGUAACGUGAAAUUCGUCACGUUCCAUUAUUGCGGUUUACGGUACGGAAACCCGGUAGCGGAUGAAAAUUCCGCAUCGGCCGAUCGUCGAGCCUCUGAAUCGUGAAAACUUCUAUCCUCGCGCGAUUGAGUCGUUGCCGGUAUGCUCUCUUUCUCUCUCUCUCUCGCUCUCUAUCUUUUAUUUUUUUUCUUCUCUGUCCGACGAAAGGCGAGAGAGGAUAUCUCAGCUAGGAUCACGUCCGACAGAAGAGGAUCGCGGGUGAGAGACACGACGAUCGUACCCUCGUCGUCCCAUUAAAAUCCCCCGGAGAGCGUUGCGCGCGCGUUAUCCACGUUCGCGCAGAAAAAUCCGCGCUUAAUCGCGCCGGUCGAGGAAACGACGCUUAAUGGCAUUAGCCCCUCGGGCGAUUUCCAUCGGCGAAUCGCGUGACUUGCCAUAAGCGAAUUUCGCAGCCUUCUGCGAGAUUGGGUUAGGUCGGCACGAAGGCAUUCUGUCUCUCUCGCUUCCUCUCCGGUAGGGCGAUCUUCGAUCCCAGAUUAAGGUACCGGCCACGCCGGUCGACACGUAAACCGGGUAAACGGCAUCUCGUGCGGCCUUUUGUAAUUGGCACUUGUUGCCGUGAGUGGCCGAGAGUUCAAUUUACAGCCGGAGAAGAGAGGAGAGAGAGAGAGAGAGAGAGCUGACAAUUAUCGAUAAUCGUCGCUGGUUAUCGGUAACGUCACGGUCGUAUCGUCGCUUUGUCGGGAUUGUCGAUAACUCGCGUUAGCCGGACUGUGCUGGGUCGACUGCAACGUCUAUUUCUUGGGAUGAGUUGCGGGGACAGCCUUGGUUAAGCUUCAUAGCCCCAAGGGAGUGCUAGAUGCACUGCGUAGUAUUAACACGAAUGAAUGGUACAGCUAUGUUAUCAGAUUAUAGUUAGCGAUUCCCUAGUCCCUUCCUAGAUUAUAUCUUUAGACGUAAUAUCGAUGGAGAAAGAAACUUUGGUUAACUAUGAUCACAAGCACCCGUUGGUGCAAUCGGCUUUUAUUGAUUUAUAAGCUAUGCUAAGCAUUAUAUGUGUUCCACUGGUAUUAGACAAUGCUGUAAUAAGAAGCGAAAGUUUAUUGAUGUUAAUUGAUGAAAGAUUUUUGCAAAUUUUGUUAAUUUUUACAAGCUUAAUUACAUAAAUGUCUAACUUUGCAUUUUUGAUUUUAUUUCUUUGCAGUACCUAUACCGUUGCUGUAUUUAAAUAAAAGUGUGUAAUUAAUAUAAUCUAAAUUUUAAUUAAUAAUUUUAAUAAUAAGCUCUUGCUCUCUUUCAUUUCUGUCUCAUGUUCUUAAACUUACUUUAAGAGAAGAGUUUAAAAACAUUUAGAUCACUCAAAUAAGAAAAAGUGAGAAACUUGGGCGCGCUUAAAAGUUGAAGCUUUAGUGAUAUAAACGGGUAAUGCAACUUUAUUUCUCAUUCAAUUGCAAAAGAACUUUAACAGAAUUUAAUAAAUUUUGCGGCUUAUUUAGCGACAGUUCUAAUAUCGUGAAUUUAUAAAUUAUAGAAUCCUAUGAAAUUUUCGCCAAGUCUAAGUAGUCGCCGCUUCGCCGUCGCGUCGCGCCGUCGCCGGUUGCUAAUUCGUCAAAGUGUCUGAUGGUGGAAUAUUGCACGAUGCCGUAUACACGUAUACAUAUGGACGCAUCCCUACAAGUGAGAGAAACUCGGAUUCGGACAGAACCGACGGACGAGCUUUUCUGACUAGACGUUAUUCGCGGGUGGCAUAUUGUCCACGAGUAAGGCUGGCGAGUUUCGACGACGGAGUUUGGGAUGUGGGCUUUGACUUGGGGUAACUCGCACUAUAAUCUACAACCCGCUCUAACACAAUGGCCGGUUGGAGUCCCGCAGGGAAUUGCGUCUCGUACCUGCGGCAAUGGUCCCCCGGAGUGGUUUCGCGAGUAAAUUAUUCGCAGCGCGAGCGAUCUUCUGGCUUCGCCAGAAUAAAAUGACGUUUAAACUGUCCGGCCGGCGCGACGCGACGUGGCGGCGGCGCGGCGGUUGGGUUUUCGAGGGUUUUUAAGGAAUCUCCGGCAUUUCAGACGCGGCGCGCGCGCGAGAGAGAGAAGUUAGUUUUAAAAAUUUCCUACAAACUUGGGCGCGCGCGGUUGAUUUAAAUGCUUAAUUGACAGAAUACUUCGGCUCGCCGCCGCGCCGGGCGACUCGUAAAAGCAUCAUGAAUAUUUAAUCCGUCGCGUAUCUGGUAAUCAAGAAAGUUCGGCUAGUUAGGCCGAGUACACAAUCGCAGUGUACGUGACAACGUCGAAAAGUAGGAUACUCUUGCUGGCGAGUCUCUAAUUUAUUGAGACUUUUACGUUUCUUUGAGACGCGCGCGCUCCGAGUGCUACUUUAAUUACUCGACGCAAAGUCGUCGUCGUCGUCGUCGUCGUCGUCGUCGUCGUUGUCGUCGUUAUAUACUUUGGCCGGGAUGCAAAGUGUAUCGCGAGUAGCAUAUAACGGCCGUUUAGCUGAUGUGUAGCGUUAUACUUUACGAGACUUUAUUAUCACGGUUGAUUUAGAUAACGUGAUCGAACCAAGUAACCACCGCGCCGCAAUCUGUUUAACAGGCCAUAUGUAUCCGCAUUAGGGGUCCCCCGUAUUGCGUUUUGCUAUUUGACAAUUUAUUGCGAUUACCUUAAUCAAACUAGAUGCGGAAAUAUCAGCGCGCGCGUUUGUACGCGAACGAAAUUACUGCCAAAGGGCACGCGCAAAACACGUUUUCGGGAUCACCGACGCGAUGUAUCGGAAGUAGAUAACGUCGAUGCGAUUUAUUUUCAUCACUAUCGAUGCGAGACACCCGCGGGCGGUGUAUAGUUAGUGGAGUGAAACCGCGCCCGGGUAAAAUCCUCGUUUUAUCCCCGCGGUUCCGGCGUUUAAUGGUUAAAAAUAAAGUAAUUCACUGCCAAUCUAGCAAAUCUGGUGAUUUAAUGACGUCGAUUCCAUAUCAGCGGCAGUUUAUACCGGCCCCAAUUUUAUCGUGUUACUCUGUUACUUUGAUAUACGCAAGUGGGAUUUUACUGUCGGUAUAAACCCGAUUUAUGCGUGGCUUCCGGCCUGGCGACGUGAAUUUCGUUCGACCAAUCGAUAAACCAGUCUACGCAAUUGCAUGCAGCAGGUUCUGCCAUUCUUUACCAUCACCGUGCAAACGAAAUUAUGCUCCCCUGCUUCCUUCUAUCUCUCUCACACUCCUUCCCUCGCGCCCUUUUUCCACUCCCCCCCCCUCUCUCUCUCUCUCUCUCUCGUUCCAUCCAGUAUUGCAAUAGGGCAAUUCGUUUCCGAAUUUAAUUCGUCGUAUUGGAGAAGAAAAAAAGUGAAAAGAGGACCGACAGUUCGGCAGUUCAUACAAUAGAAUUGCAACGUAAAAAGAAUGAUUUUUAAGUUAUCAUUGGAUCCCAGCUAAAAAAGCGGGUUUCGAAUAACGCUUUAUUUGACAAAUCGAUGAGAUAAAGUACGUUCACAUGUGAUGUUUUAACUGUAUACGAAAGUCAUAUAUAAUACGAUAAUAAAAUUCGUAUGAAUGCGACGCAUUUGCAUUUUGUUGAAUGUACAUGGAAAAUAAAUUGCAUUGUAAUCCUCUUUUUGCCUAUAUAUAGCUGAAAAGCUAUUGAUGCAUCUGAAUGUUUCGAGUUAUAACUCUUUUUCAGAAAGCCAUCGCGACUCGUCGCGGGUAGGAGCGGGAGUAGAAAUAGGAACGAUCGUUACGGCUUCGGUUACGUCAUCGUGGGCGCGCACCGGAUAUAAAACCGUGAAAAUAAAAAGAUUUUCCGCGCGAACGUUUCGGCCGCCUGGCUGCCGGCUUAUCGAUUUACUCCACUUAGAGCCUGUUAUGACGAUAAUUGAAUUUAUAUUGUCAAUUUUCCGCCGGCUGUGCUAGAUCGGUGAAACGGUAGGUCAAUCUGCGCGACCGUGAACCAUUUUGCGAAACGAUAGCUUAUCGCGAAUACUUAAUAAGAAGGGGAGACGAAUAUCUACUCGGGAAUCGAUAGGGCCGCUCCUCUUCACCGUGAAACGCGGUUCGUAAACAUUAGCGCACCGUGGUGCUUCUAUUACAAUCGACUCUCUCUCUGAUUGGUUAAUCGAAUUACGGAAAUCUAGAUUCAACGCCGGCAAGUAUGAUUCGACUGGUAAGCAUUGUUCCGCAUAUAUACGUGUCUUUGAUUGAAUCAACGCCAAUCUGCGCGAUUACCGGUUCAACGAAUGCUUGUGGAUCGAGGGCAAAUGCGUUACGAGAAGCGAAAUGCAGUGAAAUAUUAAAGUAGGAUAUAAGCGUUGAGAAAUAAAAUAUAACACGAGCAGAAUUUCCUAGUAAUUUUUAUCCAAUUCUAUAUAUUUAUCUACGUUUUAGAAAAUAAUCUUGAGGCAAAUUCAAAUUGUUCAGUUUACUAUUAAAAAUAACAUUAUUUUCUUCACCUCUCUUUCCAUCAAUUAAUAAAAUAUUUAAAAUAUCUAACAAAUAAAUUAUUUAUUAUAUAUAAUUAUCAAUUUUCUGAUCUAGAAUCUUUGAAUCUCUUAACUGUUUAGCUUACUGGAAAUUCUACUCUGCUGUCUCAUACAGACUUUACCCAAUUGUAUUUUUUUUUAAUAUUUGCAUUAUAUUUUAAUACAUUGUUGAUACAUUAUUGAGGGACUUUUUAUUUCCAUCUUCAUCAUUUAUUAUUAUACUUUUAUAAUCAAUGCUGCCUCCAAAAUUGCGCUUCCAAAUAACUGCGCAACUGUUUGUUCAUCUCGCUUUCUGGAGCAUUGAAAAGUACGAAAAAAUAUCUUGAAUAUGAAAACGUGCUUUAUCUUUAUUUCACGUAUCGAUACGUAGAAAAAUAGAAAUGCACCUGUGGAUGUGCAUGUUUCAUGAGAUCUUGUCUCUCGUGUAUCGAAUUUAUUUAUUUUUCAAUGGCGAGCUCACGAGUUCGUAGCACGCGAAUCAAUUGCUCGAAUGCAUUCGCAUACUACUAUAAUGAAUAAACAAUCGCUUUAUAUUUUAAGCAAACAAGAGAGGCAAUCGCAAGAUUUUGAGAAAUGAAGUAAGCGGACGAGUUAUGUGUAUGAAGAAAAAUAAAAGAACGAAGUAGUCGUUAAAUGAUAACAGAAAAAUUCAUUUCCACGUUAAUCUUUUUCAUUAAUCACAAAUAUUUAUUAGAUAUUGGUAAACAGUGACGUAUAUUUAUUAUUAUAGAAUGAAUGCAAUACUUGAUAUUUGAAAAUUAAUAUCUACAUUUACAUGAUAUAUUAGUAAUGAAAAAAAAAAUUUUUUGAACGUUUUAGAGUUAUUAGGAAAAACGUAACAUGCUGUAAUAUUGCAUUAAGAUAUUAUCUUUAUUGACUUACGUCAGCGUUCCUCUUAACGCUCUGCAUACUUGCUGUCAACUAUCCUAAAUCAAUGAAUAAUUUUGUAAUGAAGGUUCAACAACGGGGGGGGAGGGCUAGGAAGAGAGCGGAAGAGAGUGAGGGGGGAGGAGGAAGAAACGGGUGGAGAGUUGGAGAAGCUGGGCGCAUGUUGGAUUAAUUAAGUACGGCUCACUUUAGCGCGAGCAGAAACCAGCGCUCGACGAGGAACGCACCAACUCGGCUGUGUCGUAAAUUUGCUAACCGAGAUCAGAAGAUUGGUGCCCGUCCAGAAUGGCGAAGCAGAGGGAGAGAGCGACGGCGGCGGAGGCGGUAGCUGAUUGGUUUCUCAAGUGCUUGCAAAACAUUCACCGUUGAAAGGCUUCCCGGUGGUGUGCUUCCGUCGUCAUGGCAAUCUCGAGAUCGUUCCAGUUUUAAAUGCAGAUAUAUCCACCAUCCUCCCGCGCUCGCACCAGACAAUACGCAUUUAAUGUCGGAAGUCAAAUUUAUUUGCACGCCGUCCGGUGGCGAUAGUUCGCUAACGAUGAAUGCCCGUUCGAGGUAAUUAAUUCGAGAUUAAGCAGGCGAGGAUACUUGAUCCCUGGGAAUUAGCGGGCGAAAUACAAAACGCGCACUCAAUUAUUAUUUUCGUAAUUGAACGCGGUUAUUUGGGUAAAAUUCUUUCCGAAUAAAACCAUAGUACAAUGGCGCGGCGUUCUUGAUAUGCGUAGCUAGAAAUAUAACUGAAUUUCUAUUACUGUAGACAGAGCCGCAGGUUAUAAAUACGCGCAACAUGAACUUCAAGAACAUUUCAAGUUGUAAUUAUACAUAAUUUGUUUGAAAUUUCAGAUUAUUGAAACUAAUUGAUUAAAUAAUUACUGACACAAUUGCGAAAAAGCACCCGUAGUCUCGAGAGCUUUGUAGGAUCGAUUUUAUACGCUAUGAACCUAUACAUCUAUACGCAUACCAAUUAGAUGAAAGCAGAACAUACAUGUAUCUUCCAUUUAAUAUUCUUUUUUUUUUUUAAUAAAAAAACUUUUCUUCUGUCUAUUUUUUAGAUAGUAAUAUAUUAUGUAGUAUAAUUACAUUUUUAUGAAAAAACGUGAAAUAACGAAGGUUUUAAUACACUUUAAUUAAGGUUAUAAAAAAUUUCAAAAUUUUCAGAUAUGUAAAAUGAUAUAACUCGGUUUUUCAUAAUUUUUUUAUUUCAUAAUUCAGGUGCUGUAGGUAGUAGUUUCCAGAAUGUGAGGAAGGCAUUUAGCUCUUUUGACACACAUCCACACACACACACAUACACACACACACACACACUUCUCUUUCAACUCUUCAAUUUUCUCUAGCUUUAAAAAAGCUCGAUCAUAGGCUUAAGACUGACGCUCGAACGAAGCGAUCGGACGAAAUGGCGGCUUUUGAAAGAGAUUCUAAUCGAACACGCGGCGCCAAUAAAUCCAACAAAAAUUUUUGCGUGCAUAGGGUGUACACGGGCAGGUCGGUGUGUUAACGAAUAGGUUCUGGGGUCAAAUGAAAGGACGUAACACAAGCGUGGCGCCAUGUGAAAUUUGGACGUUUGACGUUUUCCCCUUCGCGCUCGCCUUGCACCGCCCGGAAUGAUUUGACUGCGUCGGCCAAACCUCGCUUUGAAGUCUUUCGCCCGCAAAUUUUUCGCUCGACGGCACCGUUUGAUCAGAGCCAUCGUAUGCGUCGCAUCGCAUCGCAUCGCAUCGCAUCGCAUCGCAUCGCAUCGCAUCGCAGUGCAUCGCAUCUCAUCGCAUCGCAUCGCAUCGCAUCGCAUCGCAUCGAGAUGCAUCGUCCCAUUUUUCGCGGUGUAGAAACGAACCACGAUGGAAUCACCAAUUUAAUCGUUGCUUCAAUUAAAGCGUAUGGUCGCGAGGCCAUAGCUUCUUUAGCUUUCGCUGUAAUUGGCAUAGAAGGGCCUGGACCGAUACCUCAACCGAUUCUCGUUAAUUGAGAAAUAGCCCGUUUGCGAUCGGCGAAGCCAUAAUAAAAUACAGUGGUAACACGUACGCCACCUGCAUUAUUCAUGCAUCGUUGCUUCUUGCCGACGAGACUUUCGAGGAGAACUUCUCAGAUUUAUAUGAAUUCUUGAGAUGCCGCGAGCGGGUAUAAGGGGUAUAAGACAGGAAAAGAAAAAAGAGGAGGAAAUCGCGAAAAGAGAAACGGGGGGAGGGGGGCGUCGUCGUUCUAAAGAUCCGCGCACAACGAUGACUUCUAUAAAUUCAAUAGGGUUCCUCUCUUCCCGUCGCGGCCUGCUGCUUGCUUGCUUCUCUCGGCGCGCUUUUGAAUUUUAUGUGCCAUUAUAUGUGUUGAGAAUCGCAUUUGUUCUGCGUUGCUGCAACUCACGAGCGGCUCUCCCAGGCCUGAGCUUUGUGAGCCACGAGCCCAUUAAUUUUUAUCAAGUGCGACCACUUCGACCAAGGCUUUCGCGGACAUCGAUGCCGGCGACUUGUGUCUAGAUUGGCGUCCUUAUUUCAUUUCUCGCGGGAAAAAUAGCGUAUUUCUUUUCGAUAACUGUCACUGCGAAAUGAUUUGCGGCCGCGACCAGCGAAAACAAUUCGCCAACUAGGCGUUAUAAAGAACUCUUCGACUAUCGAUGUUUCGAUGAUUUCAUACAACAUGAAACAGUAAUUCUCAAGUUAUGAGAUUUUCAUUUACUUCGUGUUCACUCGUGGUUAGGUUGUUUGUUUGUUUAUUAGCAAUAUUUUAUCGCGUUUUCUUUUUGCAAAAUAAUUUUUAUAUUAAUAAUCUUUUUUUUUUAAAUAUGUAUUAUUAUAAAGUUAAGAAUUGCACAUGAUUAAUGACAGCAUAAUAUAUGGUAAACGUCGAUUAUUUCAAGAUUUUGUUCUAGAAUAAAAUCAAGAUGAAUAUAAAAAAGUUUUUUUAAAUCUGUAAAAUCGAAAAAUAUUUUCUUUUUACUGAUGGGUCUUUUUUUACAAUUUUUUUUUGUAUUGACAAUUCUGUAUAGAUCUACGCACAUUCAAUUUUGUAUAUCGUGAUAUUGAUGGUAAAUAUCGAUCAUACGAGGGAGGGCUCUUUAGUAAAGCUGGGCUUUAACGAGCGUGCUCGUUCUGUCGGAGUUAAGCGAGUGUGACAUGGCCAGCGGCGCUGCACUUAGCGGAUUUACAUCGCGGCCAGCUUCCUCGUCGGCCUCGCCAUCGAUUCACUCUCUCGUGAUCUCGCGAGGCGAGCUUUGGGUUAGCUCAGAGGUGCACAACUCAAAUAUUGAAGUAGGCCAUAUUCAAUUUAAAUUCAAUUUAAUCGCAUAAUUUAUAAUGUCAUCGUCGUUUUGCAACAGUUUGGCGACAAGAAUAUUUUUUACGACAUAAAACUUUAUAAGUUUUAGGUAGUCUGAAAUUAAUAGAAAUUUGUUAGGGAAAAUGAAAAAAAAAUAUUGGAAUUUUUAGAAAAAUAAAAAUACAAUAAAAUGUGCAAUAAAAAAUAAAUAAUAGUAACAAACAAUAGUAAUAAAGUAAAACAAAUAAUACGUCCUACUUGUAGAUAAAUAUCUUUACUUGAUAUAUUAUAUUUCGUAUAAUUUAUCAAAGAACUACAUAUAAUAUUGAAAUAUUAGCCGCGACCGAUGCAACUUUGCAAAUUUAAACAGGAGGAAAUUAGAAGGCGGGCAUGUUAUCAGGUGAAACAUCAACGGGGCCUCUCGGCCCGCGGGCCUCGUAUUGCGCACCGCUGUGAAAGACUAGCUAGGAACACGAGUGGUUAAAUCCACCGGGGCAUUAUCCGUCGAAGCGGCCGAUUGAAUGACAGCAUCCGGCACGGGGUAGGUCGUGUUGCUCACGGGGUAAUUUGAGGGUGUUGCGUCUUACCGUGGAUCGACCUGACGUGGACGAUUACCUACCUAUCUGCGGAGAAAGAACCGCCUGAACCAGAGUAUGAUAGUCGAUCGAAUUUCAGGCUUCGACCGCCUGAAGAGCAUUUAAUGUAAUUUAAUCCUUCCGAUUUUGCCGAGAACGAACAUCUUUGUAAACGAGUAAAUAUAUAACGCGCUAUUUUGCAUUUUUACGACGGCAUACAUCGGAAAUUUGUGGCUUGCUAUGCUGAAAGACUUGCACCCUUUAUGUUGAAAUUAUGUAUACUUUGAUGGAGUAUCGACUUUGUAGAGAGAAGUUGUAUAAAGUUAUAUUAUUUGAUGCUGCGGAAAUUUAAAAAUUUCCAAUUUAUGUGAAAAGUAUUCAAGGCUGCGAGAGUUAAAAGUUUAAAUCUUUUUCUCUCUCCCCCUCUUUCUCUUGCGCGGUUUUAUACACGUAGAUAUUAUAAAUAAUUAGUAAGUUUUUAUUUUCUUAUAAAAAUAAUUACUUUGUCGAUUUAAAGCCGGUUAGAGCUUGUUGAUUUAAUAUUUAUUUUGUCACGAUGUAUGUGCGGAUUCAGGGAGCGCCAUUGGAAACAUCAAUCUAUCUCUUUACGAAGUAACUGCCUUUAAGAAUUGUAGCGACCUUGAUACGCGCAAGAGGGGAACUUUCUGAAACUUAAAUUGAAGGCGGUCUCCGCCUUCAUAAACAACUAUUAGUGGCGCCGCCCGACUCGAUUAAUUCUCUUUUAUAUUUCCGCUUCGGUAACAUGGUUGAACAUUUACGAGGUUCCUCGAUGAAGAUAGUCGCUUUUUAAAGGAUAUUACGUACUUAGAUAGAAUAAUCGAUGAAUAGAUUGCUUCAUUAUUAUGAUCAUUAUAUCAGGCAAUAGCUACGCACAGAUUUACGAUGGCAUAGAAAUGGAGCUUUUUCAAUGAAGAGAUAGAAAUGUAUUUUGCAAGAAAUGUAUCUCUCUCUCUCUCUCUCUCUCUCUAAUUUAGCAUAAUAAACAUACAAAACUUGAGAGUGUCAAGUUUACAAAAUUUCUUAGUUUUAUCGCUGUAUUUUUUUUAAUUACUGACAGUCUUGUCCAUCUUUGGUACGACGCCUUGACCUCGCGCAUAUCCCAACGCUGCAAUAAGUUACAAUAUACACAGGUGCUUGAAGCGAAUAUCUCAGGAACGCUUUGGAUAACUGGAUGCCGUGGCACGCUUUUAAGGAGAGCUCUAUCGCGACCGUUCACCCCGACCGCUCUCGACCGCAAUUUCGCCGUGGCGGCGUAACGACGCCCUCCACAUCCCAUGGCGUCUACCCGCGACGACAUCGUCGCCGACGACCUAGGUGGACGUCGGCGAACCGGGCGAGUCAUCGUGUGUACGUACACCGUAUCUGACGAUCGCACGACCAUAUUCCACCCGCCUGAGUCAAGUACAGUCCGUAAACACGCCGUAAAAGGCCGUAAUCAACGGCCAUUCCGCGAUGCAUCACCGCUGGGACGUUAAUCGAUUCGUUCGAUAGUAAUUGCAGAUACGAUUGGCGUGCUCGCGGGGCCUGUAUUAUUCAUGAGGGAUUCGAAUAAUCGGGCGGAAACGCGUUACCUGGCGGACGCGACGCGGCGCGGCGCGGCCUGGCGUCAACGGGGAUUUUCAGCCGCUCGCGCGACUCGUUCUCCACAAUGACGCUUGCCAAAUGCGCCUCUUGGACGUCGAUGAGGAGGAGAGCCCGGAACGGGAUAGACAAUAAUGCGGCGUGCCUCGAAUAUCGGUGUUUUAUCCGAUUCCGAAAUUGCGGGCAAAAAUUGGAUCUACUUCCGCGGAAUGGGACCAAAUAGUUGGUAUUGUCCGCGUCGGUCCCUCUCUACGGAAUUCGUUUCGAUGGAGAGCUCGCGUUGCACCGCUCUGAAAUUGCAGAUAUAUUUUAAGUCGGGCUAUGUUCGCUGAUAUUUACAUGAAUGAAUUAUAGUAUCUCGCUAUUUCCUAGCUAUUUUCCCAUUUCAUAAUUUGUUCCGAUGAUACGUCAAGUUUUGCCAUCGUGCAUGUGUUAUCGCUCUUGCUGUGUGAUGAUAGGAAAUCUAUUUGGGACUUUUGUCGAAUUUGCAUGUCUGAGGCUCCUUGUACUUGUUAGGCAUUAUGAUAGUCAUUAAAUAUGCAGUGCUCUAUAUCUACACCUGUACGCCUUUACUUCGUUAUGCCGCUGCAUUUCUCUAUCAGUCUGGCCUGAAAGCAUCUCCGUGUUAGCGAUAUAACAAGGUAUUUCCGAUAACUGGAUGGAAAUAUCAAUGCCGUCGUGUAUUGUACAUGUACGGUGACUAUAUAUUCUUAGAGAUAAUAAAGAACAAAUCUGAAUAUUUUAGGGUUUUGUUCUCACAUGUUUCCAUGUCAGUUUCUGAAUAUCAGCAGUUCGUACAUUACGAAUUUUUCUUCCGCGAUAUCAAAAUGAGAUAUUGUGAAUUUUCUGAUAGUUUGAAAUUGAUUUGAUUGUAUUUUUUCGAACAAACCUUUAAAUCUGAAGUAGGUUUGAGAUAAUAAAAUACGAAAACAAAUUUAAUUUAAAUAAUUUUAAUUAAUAAAAUUUUUAAUAUAAUUAACAAUAAUUAUUUUUUAUUAAAGUUUUACUAACUAUUGACAAAUAUAAAAACAUAUUGUUCCAUUAUAAUAAAAAGAUUAUGAGAAUGCUUCUACUGCCUUUUAAAGACAAAAAUUUCAUCGAGUUAUACACAGAUUUAUAAUACGAAAGGUAAUUAAUAUAUAAAGAAAUGUUAAUUUUUAUUACUGACAAGUGUCAUGGUGUAUUGAAAAAGAAAAAGGCAUUUGUUCAUUUUAAUUGUCGGAUUAUCUGUUUUUAAUGAAAUAAAGGAUGAAAAAUAAAAAAUUUAAUGGCAUUUCUAUUAUAAUUGACUCUCUCAGUGGUAUUAUUAUGCAGAGUACGCCAGUUUUCAUUCUUGCCAGCGUGCUAUAUAGGUUGAAUAUAAUUGCACUCCGGAAGGAGAACAAAAAUAAAAUCUAAGAUUAUCUUUAUUUAUGAUUCCGCGAAUCGGCCAUCGAAAGUAAGGACCGGUUUUUCGGCGACCGCUGCUACUUUAUUUACGACCGUCCGACGUUUGCGGUUAAUUUACAGAGGUUCGAUCGAGGCAGGGUAGCGUGUUCUUCUCGGGCGUGUAUAUCGAAUCCGCGACGGUACGAUUGGACGCGCGUUGCACGCGUGAUAUCGCAGAACUCUCGUGGAACAGAUCGUUGACGAUGGCACGCGGAUCCAGCCGUUUUCGACCUGAGUAAGUGUAUCCGCCUGUGCUAUGCUAUCCCGAGGGAUAUAUUUAUCCUUUGCCGAUACAAACAAACGGUCUCGACCGUGAUCGCGCUGGGUCUCUCCGUAUUCCGUGGGCGUUGCGUCGCGAACAUCGGAGCAGCAAACUCGCCUGCUGUUGUUUCUACGUCUCGAGACACUGUUUCUGAGGGCAUUGUUAUUUUUAAGCGUCUGAGAGAGAAAGACAUGGACAGAGAUAAAGGCCUAAAACACUAUCUUUUAUGCUUCAGGAAAGUUACAGCAUUUACCAAAAUAUCGGCGUUAUACAAAAUUAGAAAAUUCUAAUUAAUAUAAUAAAAAUAUCGCUAAUGCAGAAUUAACGCAGAAAGUGGUUAUAUUAUCAUAUAUAUUUUUCGCGUAUACAAUACGCCACAGACGUAUACAAAUUGCUAUAAAAAUAGUAUCUGAAAAAUGUUUGAAAUAUAUUUUAACUUCUAUUUUAAAAAUAUUUGCGCGCUUCGUUAUUAUAUUAUAUAAUUCUGACAUUUCUUUCUUUAGUUUUAGUCAAUAAUAGAAAGAAUAUAUUUAAUUCUAGAUUUUUUAAUAAUUUUUCUGUUCUAAUUCCUCAUGUUUAUGCUAUCCAUUACUUUGCUUUGAUAUUAUUGCAACAAGUAGCGAAGGCACGCUAUGUUCGCGAGGUUGAAUGUUCUCAUAUCGAUCUGCUAUCGGCAAAUUUUUUCCUUAAAUAGAUGGAUAUUUUUAUCUUCAACUAGACAGAGGCAAACGAACGAGACGAGAUAAAUUGGAUGAAAAUGCGACUUCGAUACAUGUGAGGGGAAAGCAAAUAAACGUAUCGGUCGGAGUUUUAAGUUUAUUAAAAAUUAAAUUAAAAUUCUAGAAAAGUAAUCUACUUGAACCACUUACUUUCUACUUGAACUUUAAAUGAACGCGAUAAGAUAUUGUUAUUUAAUCACAGUUUAGAAGGAAUAGGGAGAAUUUAGUUGGCAAAGAGCUCUUCAUUUUCAAUCAACUCAAAAGCUAAUUAGUGCCUCGACAUUUUAAGAACCUAUUAGGAAAAUUAACUUGUAGACUAAUCAAAUAAUUUUUCCCUAUUUAUUAUCAAAGAAAUUUAUUACUUGAAAAGUAUUUUUUUACAAUUUGCAGCCAUCAACAAUCGCAGUUUGUUUUUUUUCCUUCCAAUAGGAUUGAUUUAACUCUUCUAAUUCUAAAAUUGCCUGCCAUCGCAGGUAUUUUCCAAUUGUAAUUACCUCGAUUCGCGGAAUAACAUUGGGAUAUUUCAGUGAGGGUUCGAUGUUGCAAAUGUACAUUAACAUCCAUCAGUGUCCUCUGGAUGGCAAUAGCCUUUAUUUAACAAUGUACUGUGAACUCUCAGCGACUGGGAAUUCGCUCCACAUUAUCCAUAGUAUCGUCGGGCUCGUCGGGCUCGUCGGGCUCGUCGGGUUCAAAACAAAUUUGAGAGCCGUUUCAGAAAGCAUUCUUCUCACAAACAGAGGUUCCAUGAUGCUUCCAAUUCGUUGUGGUAGUCCCCUGCUUCGUCGAGUGACCAGAAUAUCUUGCCGCCCUACCUUUGUUUUUCUACGAGCGCAAACUGCGUACUACCUUUGUCGCUUGCGUCCCUCCGUGAGACUAUGCGGCAACCAACCGGUAUACCGAUCGUAAAUGCGAGACGAUGUUUCGAUUGUAGUUGUUACGAUUCGCUCACGCUACGCGAGCAUCGUGCUUUAUUUGUAUUUUGUUUUAUACUACUCGCGCAUUGUGAGGCGUGUAUGCCAUGCAGAUGACGCAGGUUCCCGAUACACCUGUCACAAUGUUCUUUACUUUAUUAUCGUUUUAUUUCGCAUCGUGAUUUAUAAAAUUUGGAAUUUUUAUUAUGAGCGUGACAUUUCUCUCAUUUAUAAUAUUCUGCAAAAAAUGGAAUUUUAUAAAAAUAUUUUAUAUGUUUCGUGUAUAUUGGUACAAAAAGUUUAGUAUAAAAAUGUACUGAUGCCACUUAAGAAUGACAAUUAUAGUAAUAUAGCAAAAGUAAUGAUCGAUACAGUAAUAAUGUAGUAAUUGCAGUAAUUAUCAUUAAGUAACUAUGCGUUGAAAGCUAGUUGGAAGGCCUAUUCAUUGAAAUUCGACGUGUGGAUUUAUGUUCGAGAGAGAUUCAUUCGCUCUCGAAUACGCAGUUUCAAAAUGCCGGUUUCGGGCAUGAAUGGUCGAGUUCGUUCGCUCUUGAUGACCGUUCCCAUUACAGCGACUGCAUUCGUUUGCUCGUGCUCGAUCGUCCAUGCUCGCAUAGUAUAAAUGCACCUUUGACUGCUGGAAUACUUGAUGCGCGCACAUCUAUAAUUUCACGCUCGCGUGUCACCGAUCCGUUUCAUUUCCCAUCGAGCUAUCAUCCGGGAAGAAUAUUCAUCAUACUCGACGCUAGUGCCGCGUCAGGAACUCAUCAUCCAGUUCUGCCACCAUAGUUCAAUCAUUCACACUGUCCAUCGAGUUAAUGAUAAUACUCCGUCUCUCACGCGUGGAUCUGUCGCGAUGUUUGCCCUCGCGAAACCGCAUAGUUAUACCUCUAUGCAUGUGCAAUAAGGCUAUAAUCACGAGGUGACCCGAAAUCGGCGGGAGCGAUAUAUCACAGAGAUUAUUUCAUUAAUAUGCAUAUUUGGUGAUUUUGCAAUUCGGUAUUAUUUAUUUGCAAAUCAUAUAGAAGCAACGGCAAUCUAAAUCGAGCAGCGUUAUGGAAAUCGGUAUACAUUGAUAUCUUAUUAUACGGUUAAUUAAAAAUUGCUUGCGAUGCCUAUUCAACAAUACAUACCUACAUAUAGCUAUCAAUAUCGCUUGGCUGAUACUUUAACGUAACUUACGCACUUAUAAGUAAUUGGCAUCGUUUAUGUAUAUCAAUAUAAAUCAAGUAACAUAUUGCAGUUUUAUAAAUGAUAAACAUUUAUUUGACAUUUUUUUUUUUUUUAGAGACGGCUUAAUUUUGUUGCCGUGAAAUUGUUUUUAUCGCUCACGCAGUAUAUUAUUUCUUAAGCAACGAUGUGCAGAACAAAUUAUCCUGAAAAAUGAAAGCAAUACAAUUGUAGUCGUCCUCUAUUUUCUCUUACGCCCGUCGCGUCGCCCCGUAUCUGCGGAAGCUAAAAGUCGAAGUAACGUCUCUAGGUUCAUUCGUGUUUUUUGCUCGUAACAAUAAUUCUUCGCGCUCGCGUCACAGGGAAUCCGGAUACAAGAAAAAGCACGAAUUCCGGCGCGCUCGGUGCACUUUAAGCUACUCUCCGACAUGGACGACGGUAAGAAGCGACUCGCGAUACGAGUCGACGCGAAAGACCGGUGCGAUUCCGUAACGCUCUUCCACGCGCGGCCAUUUUUCACCUUCUUCUUUGCCGAAACUGGCCGAAGAAAUCAACGGCGAGUGUACACUAUCGCGAUUCGAAGCUGUGGCGGCGUGACGCGGCGGCGGCGGCGUGCGUGCGAGAGGAAGCAUCGAGACUAGAGACCGAUCCGCGAACGGCGAAACGGGCGCGCGCGCGCGCGCGCGGGGAUGCUGCGCACCGAUAAGACGGUCCUCGCUCGUGUAUCAAAGUACGACAACUUCAUAGCCUCGCCGACCGUAAGUCAGGCCAUUAUCUCCAUUAUUGCCAUCUUUUUUUCAGACGAGGUAUAUAAAUAGCCCGCUCUCGUACAGAUAAUAAGCGUAUCCCCUUCCCGUCUUUCGUGCGCGGCGCGGCGAGAGGGAAAGAGAGGGCAACCCCAUAAGUCGGAGGGGCCAUAUAAUCCGCAAACAUCUGAAUUUAUGCCGUCGACAUUGCGGUUGAAGAAGCUUGCAGGAAGGCCGUUUCAUCGUCGUUGUCGUUGUCGUUGUCGUUGCCAAUGUUAGACCUUUGUGGCACGCGCUUUUUAUCCCGCGUCAUUGUCUUCCCCUUUCGAUAAAACGCACGAUAUUCGCAUGCGAAUGCUUGUGAAUGUAACGUGAUACGGGAGCCGCGCUUUCUCUCCGCGUGUCCAUUAAGGUAGAUAUUGUAAUAAACCGGUUUAGUCGUUUGUGUGCCGCACGGAGGCUGGGCACGGAUUUAAUCGCAGGCAUCUUAAUUCUAUUCCACGAAGCGGACACCCGGUCAGAUCGUCGAUCAAUAUUAUCGUUGCGAUUGCUCGACAAGAACUUAUGGAGCUAAGAACGGGAUUAAUAAUAUAUAAUCGUCAGUUUGAGAGAUACGUUCCAAACCGAUUGUUUCUCUGGGUGUAGCGGAUGUAAUAUUUCUGGCCUCUAUCGCCAAAUAGACCGUUCUGCUUUUAGUCGAUUUUUGUUUCAAACAUUUACAAGGGGUCUGCUCGAAACGAAUUGCGCGUUAAGUACUUUAACAGCGGGCGAAAUCCAUUCCGACUAAUUGCAUUAUCUGCGGCGAUAUAUAUGGAUUAACACAGUUAGCAGCGUUAAAUACAGACUGCAGUUAUUUUAUUCGAAAUCGACGGCGGUAGCGCAUUUUCACGUAUCAUGUCUUUAAUUAAAUAAUGAACUCGUUAAUCUCAGUUACAGCGAUGAAAAUUUUAAUAGAAUUUUUCAUGAAUCUCGUGAAAGAAAACAAAGCAACAACUGAUUUAAUAACACAAUUGAUUUCAUAGAAAUUUUGAUAAAAUAUAAUGUUUACAGUUUUAAUGCGUCUGCAUUAAUCUUAUACGAAAUAUUAUAAAAUUCUUGUAGAAGUAUUAAUAUCACAAAUAUAAUAUCGUUAUUGCUCUAUUGUUACUGUUGGUAACAUGGAAAUAGAUUAAUUAUUAGUCGUUGUUAUAAAAUUAUCGAAUGUUUACUGCAAACGUUCAUACAAAUGUGAAUAAUUUGUAUGUAUAUUUGCACUAGUAACUCAAAAUUCUUAUAAAAAUAUCAUUUUGCAGUUAAUAAUAAUUUAAUAGUAUUUAUCAUCGAUGAUAAAAUAUACGUACAAGGAGAUUAUUAUAUUUCGACAUAUUAUAUUUCGAGUAUAAAUAUCAGGCUCAAUCAUAUCCAAAUGGCAAUAUAUUUUCUCCAACAAUUCCUCUAAUAAUGCGUUCUUUUUUUUAAAUUGAUUGAGAUUCGUUACGGUCUCUGCAUUCGUUUUAUAGUAUUCGGUCGAUAAUAAUUCAGGUUGGCCGAGGCGAACUGAAGUAGGUACGCCAAGUGAAGUACGGUCAAGUUUGCGCCGUAAAAAUCGGCGACGUGACACGCCAAUUGUUUUGAUUUCCACGUUUCUUCGUGGCACGUCGCAGUUUUACCAAUGCAAUCUCCCGCAGUAGCCUCCGUCGUCGUAUUCAGCUGAUGCCGCAGGCCUCGUCCAACUUCCGAGCCAGCGGACCGCGAUGUUGCCUACGUCGCGUCCCGCCAAUUAUUCAAAUUCCGAAGAUUUCCGCCUCGCCGGUGGAAGACGGCAAAUAUUGACGAAAAAUAUCAAGCGUUCCCUGCCAGCCUGCCGUCGCUCGCGACGGACGGCGGCGUCUCGUCCGUUUCACUGUGGAAACGAGGAUCAGCACGUCGCGCAUCCCUCGAUCCACACACACACACACACACACAGAGAAAGAGAGAGAGAGAGAGAGAAAGGGAAGGAGGGAGAGAGAGACGAAUCCCCGGCCGAUAAGAGUCCCCCGUGGGCGACGGCGGCGUCAGAAUACGCGUUCGAAAUUCCAACCAGAGGCUUCUGCUCCUGUCUGUCCGCUUACCCGCUCACCCGUUCACCCGCCUACCGAUUUCCUUAUUAUCGAGGGAUUCGCGACACGUGUGGCGCAACGUUAGCGCGGUGCGAUGCGGUGCGACGCGACCGCAACCGCGUAUGCACAUUGCACACGAUCGGGAAACGAGACACGGGGGUGAGCUCGUGGGAACGUAGUCGCAUGCGGUUCGAUCACUCCGCAGUGGACGUGCUGCUAUCGGCCUCGUCGUCCACCGCGCGUCGCAUCGUCAUGGCCGUUUUGCAUUCGGCUGGUGCGACGUGGCGCGGCUUAAUAGCCCAGCGCUCGACUUUAUUCUCAUGAGGCUCGCGCGCGUUCCCUCACACGCGAUAUCUCUCGCGUUAUACCUACUACACGCUCCUCUCCACCCGCCUCACCCCCUUCGUCGACGUGAAAGCGCCCCCGAUGACUUUUAACGAGGCAUCUAUAUGGCGAAUCGGGGCCGAGGCCAGGAUGAAUCGGACGCUCAUGGCUAAUUUUAGGAGCUUCGUGUCGCUACCGGCUUUAGGCAAUGCGAUCCUGCGCAAAAUCGAUAAGCGUUCAUUACAGGAAAAGCACGGAGGGAAGCGAGUUAUCGCGCGCGCGUGUGUGUGUUUACAUGUGUCUUGAAAAUACAGUCUCCAACUUUUCGACGAUCGUAUCAUAUUUUCGUACUUGCAAUAGCUAUAUCGUAAACCAAAAAUCCAAGUUUCUUUUUGAUAAAGAAGAAAGCUGCCAAAAGAGAAUCUUCGUCGUCGAAUCGCGACUUAAAAAAAA